Molecule: long non-coding RNA, 668 nt
Filed under: Musa acuminata (dwarf banana)
Lineage: Eukaryota; Viridiplantae; Streptophyta; Magnoliopsida; Zingiberales; Musaceae
Description: long non-coding RNA (MACU_LNC003806)
Source: RNAcentral
GUUCUCUUGUCUUCUACUUCCGCCAUGGUCUCUUUGCCUCAUGCAUCCUUUUGGGCCAGGGGAUUUCUGCUGCUGCUCCUCUCAUGACGCGGUGAGAGUGCUUUUCCUUGCUGGAUUUGUGAACCCCUUGUUUUGUUACGCUGGUUUUCGUGUUUAGCUUGGGUUUGGUAAAACUUAAAAGAUCCUUCUUUGGUUGUCUUUGAUUUGGUAUUUUGGAGCUUUCAGCUGCUUUGUGAUGAGCUCUAUUUGGAAAGAUUGCAUUUUGAGAGCUGUCAAUGUUAAGUUUUGGUGUUUCGAUCUCGCCAAUGGCAAUACACCAAAACAGAGACCUCCAUCCUUUUUGUUUCCCUUUGAACUUGGUUAAUUUUGCGUGCCUAGGGUUCUUGUUUUGCACAUUUGAAGGAGGUUUCCAACCCCUUCUUUGUUAAUUUUGGGGAUAUUGGUCAAGCCGUGUGGUGCAUCAAUUUUUUGAAGGGUUUGCUUUUGUGCUUGCCUAUUAGCUUCCUUUUUCUUGAACUUGAUGGAACCCAGAAACAAGGAUUUUGUGUGGCAGGUUUUAUAAAGGUGAAGUAUGACCAUUACAGCUGAUACGCAGUUGGGCAUUCAAUAUCUUUGAUCUCGAACUUCCUAGGAAAGGAAGAGCUAGGUUUGGGACCUUGAAUUCUGAU